This 504-nucleotide ribosomal RNA is filed under the name uncultured bacterium. RNAcentral's name for it is "bacterial SSU rRNA". It matches the Rfam family "Bacterial small subunit ribosomal RNA", at positions 28 to 531 of the family's 1533-position model. The record is from RNAcentral.
GACGAACGCUGGCGGCGUGGAUUAGGCAUGCAAGUCGAACGGAACUUCUCUUGGUGGCAACAUCUUGGGUUGUUUAGUGGCGAACGGGUGAGUAACACGUGAGGAACCUGCCCCGGAGACCGGGAUAACAGAAGGAAACUUCUGCUAAUACCGGAUGUCCCCAUCGUGCCGCAUGGUGUGGUGAGGGAAAUGGGUUUCCGCUUCGGGAGGGUCUCGCGGCCUAUCAGCUUGUUGGUGGGGUAAUGGCCUACCAAGGCGUCGACGGGUAGCUGGUCUGAGAGGACGAUCAGCCACACUGGGACUGAGACACGGCCCAGACUCCUACGGGAGGCAGGCAGUGGGGAAUCUUGCGCAAUGGGCGAAAGCCUGACGCAGCAACGCCGCGUGCGGGAUGAAGGCCUUCGGGUUGUAAACCGGCUUUCUAGCAGGACGAAAUUAGACGGUACCUGCAGAAGAAGACCCGGCCAACCUACGUGCCAGCAGCCGCGGUAAGUAUCACGUGUA